UCCGUAGGUGAACCUGCGGAAGGAUCAUUACCUAGAGUUGUAGGCUUUGCCUACCAUCUCUUACCCAUGUCCUUUGAGUACCUUCGUUUCCUCGGCGGGUCCGCCCGCCGAUUGGACAAACUUAAACCCUUUGUAAUUGAAAUCAGCGUCUGAAAAAACAUAAUAGUUACAACUUUCAACAACGGAUCUCUUGGUUCUGGCAUCGAUGAUGAACGCAGCGAAAUGCGAUAAGUAGUGUGAAUUGCAGAAUUCAGUGAAUCAUCGAAUCUUUGAACGCACAUUGCGCCCCUUGGUAUUCCAUGGGGCAUGCCUGUUCGAGCGUCAUUUGUACCUUCAAGCUCUGCUUGGUGUUGGGUGUUUGUCUCGCCUUUGCGUGUAGACUCGCCUUAAAACAAUUGGCAGCCGGCGUAUUGAUUUCGGAGCGCAGUACAUCUCGCGCUUUGCACUCAUAACGACGACGUCCAAAAAGUACUUUUUACACUCUUGACCUCGGAUCAGGUAGGGAUACCCGCUGAACUUAAGCAUAUCAAUAAGCGGAGGA
Molecule: ribosomal RNA, 541 nt
Filed under: uncultured Phoma
Lineage: Eukaryota; Fungi; Ascomycota
Description: eukaryotic LSU rRNA
Rfam family: 5.8S ribosomal RNA (bases 171-324)
Source: RNAcentral